This 487-nucleotide ribosomal RNA is filed under the name uncultured bacterium. RNAcentral's name for it is "bacterial SSU rRNA". It matches the Rfam family "Bacterial small subunit ribosomal RNA", at positions 30 to 511 of the family's 1533-position model. The record is from RNAcentral.
AUUGAACGCUGGCGGCAUGCCUUACACAUGCAAGUCGAACGGCAGCACGGGAGCAAUCCUGGUGGCGAGUGGCGAACGGGUGAGUAAUAUAUCGGAACGUGCCCAGUCGUGGGGGAUAACGUAGCGAAAGUUACGCUAAUACCGCAUACGAUCUAAGGAUGAAAGCGGGGGAUCGCAAGACCUCGCGCGAUUGGAGCGGCCGAUAUCAGAUUAGGUAGUUGGUGAGGUAAAGGCUCACCAAGCCAACGAUCUGUAGCUGGUCUGAGAGGACGACCAGCCACACUGGAACUGAGACACGGUCCAGACUCCUACGGGAGGCAGCAGUGGGAAUUUUGGACAAUGGACGCAAGUCUGAUCCAGCCAUUCCGCGUGCAGGAUGAAGGCCCUCGGGUUGUAAACUGCUUUUGUACGGAACGAAACGGCGAGCUCUAAUACAGUUUGCUAAUGACGGUACCGUAAGAAUAAGCACCGGCUAACUACGUGCCAG